GGUCUAUUAGUCUAGUUGGUUAGGACGUCGGAUUCUGAUAAACAUCAGUUCCUUCCGUAGGCCCAGGUUCGAAUCCUGGAUGGACCU
Molecule: transfer RNA, 87 nt
Organism: Colletotrichum gloeosporioides Cg-14
Lineage: Eukaryota; Fungi; Ascomycota; Sordariomycetes; Glomerellales; Glomerellaceae
Rfam family: tRNA
About the family: Transfer RNA (tRNA) molecules are approximately 80 nucleotides in length. Their secondary structure includes four short double-helical elements and three loops (D, anti-codon, and T loops).
Source: Rfam